RNAcentral lists this ribosomal RNA (400 nucleotides) under Escherichia coli. RNAcentral's name for it is "bacterial SSU rRNA". It matches the Rfam family "Bacterial small subunit ribosomal RNA", at positions 1 to 397 of the family's 1533-position model. The record is from RNAcentral. Lineage: Bacteria; Pseudomonadati; Pseudomonadota; Gammaproteobacteria; Enterobacterales; Enterobacteriaceae.
AAAUUGAAGAGUUUGAUCAUGGCUCAGAUUGAACGCUGGCGGCAGGCCUAACACAUGCAAGUCGAACGGUAACAGGAAGCAGCUUGCUGCUUUGCUGACGAGUGGCGGACGGGUGAGUAAUGUCUGGGAAACUGCCUGAUGGAGGGGGAUAACUACUGGAAACGGUAGCUAAUACCGCAUAACGUCGCAAGACCAAAGAGGGGGACCUUCGGGCCUCUUGCCAUCGGAUGUGCCCAGAUGGGAUUAGCUAGUAGGUGGGGUAACGGCUCACCUAGGCGACGAUCCCUAGCUGGUCUGAGAGGAUGACCAGCCACACUGGAACUGAGACACGGUCCAGACUCCUACGGGAGGCAGCAGUGGGGAAUAUUGCACAAUGGGCGCAAGCCUGAUGCAGCCAUGC